UGGGGAAUAUUGGACAAUGGGCGAAAGCCUGAUCCAGCCAUGCCGCGUGUGUGAAGAAGGUCUUCGGAUUGUAAAGCACUUUAAGUUGGGAGGAAGGGCAUUAACCUAAUACGUUAGUGUUUUGACGUUACCGACAGAAUAAGCACCGGCUAACUCUGUGCCAGCAGCCGCGGUAAUACAGAGGGGGCAAGCGUUAAUCGGAAUUACUGGGCGUAAAGCGCGCGUAGGUGGUUUGUUAAGUUGGAUGUGAAAUCCCCCGGCUCAACCUGGGAACUGCAUUCAAAACUGACUGACUAGAGUAUGGUAGAGGGUGGUGGAAUUUCCUGUGUAGCGGUGAAAUGCGUAGAUAUAGGAAGGAACACCAGUGGCGAAGGCGACCACCUGGACUAAUACUGACACUGAGGUGCGAAAGCGUGGGGAGCAAACA
This 427-nucleotide ribosomal RNA is filed under the name uncultured bacterium. RNAcentral describes it as "partial 16S ribosomal RNA". It matches the Rfam family "Bacterial small subunit ribosomal RNA", at positions 355 to 774 of the family's 1533-position model. The record is from RNAcentral.